RNAcentral lists this transfer RNA (86 nucleotides) under Candidatus Pacebacteria bacterium CG10_big_fil_rev_8_21_14_0_10_44_54. RNAcentral's name for it is "tRNA-Leu". It matches the Rfam family "tRNA". Rfam says of the family: Transfer RNA (tRNA) molecules are approximately 80 nucleotides in length. Their secondary structure includes four short double-helical elements and three loops (D, anti-codon, and T loops). The record is from RNAcentral. Lineage: Bacteria; Bacillati; Minisyncoccota.
GCCUCGGUGGCGGAAUUGGUAUACGCGUCAGACUUAAAAUCUGAUGGUCCUAGACCUUGUGGGUUCGAGUCCCACCCGAGGCACUA